RNAcentral lists this long non-coding RNA (208 nucleotides) under Ananas comosus (pineapple). RNAcentral's name for it is "long non-coding RNA (ACOM_LNC005670)". Lineage: Eukaryota; Viridiplantae; Streptophyta; Magnoliopsida; Poales; Bromeliaceae. The record is from RNAcentral.
UGAGAAUAACAUCUGCUUGCCCAAGAUCUUUCAUAUCAAAAUUUUCAUUUAAUAAUUUUUUCACAUCAUAUAUCACAUUCAUAUUAGUACUUAAAAUCAAGAUAUCAUCAACAUAUAAUCAUAAGAUCACUAUCUGUCCAUCAUUCUCCUUCGAAUACAUGCAUUCAUCAGACAUGUUCACAUGAAAACCAUUUGAUACAACCAAAGA